RNAcentral lists this ribosomal RNA (513 nucleotides) under Monoctenus juniperi. RNAcentral's name for it is "partial 16S ribosomal RNA". The stretch from base 387 to 513 matches the Rfam family "Bacterial large subunit ribosomal RNA", at positions 2473 to 2600 of the family's 2925-position model. The record is from RNAcentral. Lineage: Eukaryota; Metazoa; Arthropoda; Insecta; Hymenoptera; Diprionidae.
GUCUUUUUGAAAAUAAUUUUAAGUCUAAUCUGCUCAAUGAAUAAUUUUUAAAUAGCCGCAGUAUUUUAACUGUGCAAAGGUAGCAUAAUAAUUUGUCUUUUAAUUUAGGACUAGAAUGAAUGAUUUAACGAAGUUUAAGCUGUCUUAAAUUUAUAAUAUUUGAAUUUAAUUUUUAAGUUAAAAAGCUUAAAUUUUUUUAUAGGACGAGAAGACCCUAUAGAGUUUUAUUAAAAUAUAAUAAUUUUUUUAAAUAAUAAUUUUUAUUAAAAUUUUAUUUUAAUUUUAUUGGGGUGAUAAUAAAAUUUUAAUAACUUUUAUAUUUCAAUAACAUAAAUUAAUGAAUUAUUGAUCCUUUUUUUAAGAUUAUUAGAUUAAAUUACCUUAGGGAUAACAGCGUAAUUUUUUUUAAAGUUCUUAUUAACAUUAAAGAUUGCGACCUCGAUGUUGGAUUAAAAUAAAAUUUAGGUGUAAAAGCUUAAAUAUUUAGGUCUGUUCGACCUUUAAAAUUUUACA